RNAcentral lists this ribosomal RNA (498 nucleotides) under uncultured bacterium. Its description in RNAcentral is "partial 16S ribosomal RNA". It matches the Rfam family "Bacterial small subunit ribosomal RNA", at positions 29 to 523 of the family's 1533-position model. The record is from RNAcentral.
AUUGAACGCUGGCGGCAUGCCUUACACAUGCAAGUCGAACGGUAACGCGGGGCAACCUGGCGACGAGUGGCGAACGGGUGAGUAAUACAUCGGAACGUGCCCAGUAGUGGGGGAUAGCCCGGCGAAAGCCGGAUUAAUACCGCAUACGACCUACGGGUGAAAGCGGGGGAUCGCAAGACCUCGCGCUAUUGGAGCGGCCGAUGUCAGAUUAGCUAGUUGGUGGGGUAAAGGCCUACCAAGGCGACGAUCUGUAGCUGGUCUGAGAGGACGACCAGCCACACUGGGACUGAGACACGGCCCAGACUCCUACGGGAGGCAGCAGUGGGGAAUUUUGGACAAUGGGGGCAACCCUGAUCCAGCCAUGCCGCGUGCGGGAAGAAGGCCUUCGGGUUGUAAACCGCUUUUGUCGGGGAAGAAACGGUCUGCGCUAAUACCGCGGACUAAUGACGGUACCCGAAGAAUAAGCACCGGCUAACUACGUGCCAGCCGCCGCCGUAA